UCGGGACUUUUGGGCAAUGGGCGAAAGCCUGACCCAGCAACGCCGCGUGAAGGAUGAAAUCCCUCGGGAUGUAAACUUCGCAAGAACGGGAAGAAUAAGUAAGGGUUAAUAUCCCUUAUGAUGACGGUACUGUUUGUAAGCUCCGGCUAACUCCGUGCCAGCAGCCGCGGUAAUACGGGGGGAGCAAGCGUUGUUCGGAUUUACUGGGCGUAAAGGGCGCGUAGGCGGCCACCGCAAGUCGACUGUGAAAUCUCCGGGCUUAACUCGGAAAGGUCAGCCGAUACUGCGGGGCUAGAGUGCAGAAGGGGCAACUGGAAUUCUCGGUGUAGCGGUGAAAUGCGUAGAUAUCGAGAGGAACACCUGCGGCGAAGGCGGGUUGCUGGGCUGACACUGACGCUGAGGCGCGAAAGCUAGGGGAGCGAACGGGAUUAGAUACCCCGGUAGUCCUAGCCUUAAACGAUGAAUGCUUGGUGUCUGGGGUUUAUAGUCCCGGGUGCCGUCGCUAACGCUUUAAGC
This 516-nucleotide ribosomal RNA is filed under the name uncultured Acidobacteriota bacterium. RNAcentral's name for it is "bacterial SSU rRNA". It matches the Rfam family "Bacterial small subunit ribosomal RNA", at positions 355 to 865 of the family's 1533-position model. Lineage: Bacteria; Pseudomonadati; Acidobacteriota. The record is from RNAcentral.